GACGAACGCUGGCGGCGUGCUUAACACAUGCAAGUCGAACGGAAAGGCCCUGCUUUUGUGGGGUGCUCGAGUGGCGAACGGGUGAGUAACACGUGAGUAACCUGCCCUUUACUUUGUGAUAACUUCAGGAAACUGGGGCUAAUACCUGAUAGGAGCUCCUGCUGCAUGGUGGGGGUUGGAAAUUUUCGGCGGUUGGGGAUGGACUCGCGGCUUAUCAGCUUGUUGGUGGGGUAGUGGCUUACCAAGGCUUUGACGGGUAGCCGGCAUGAGAGGGUGACCGGCCACAUUGGGACUGAGAUACGGACCAGACUCCUACGGGAGGCAGCAGGGGGGAAUAUGGCACAAUGGGCGGAAGCCUGAGGCAGAAACGCCGCGUGCGGGAUGACGGCCUUCGGGUUGUAAACCGCUUUAGCCUGUGACGAAGCGUGAGUGACGGUAAUGGGUAAAGAAGCACCGGCUAACUACGUG
This 468-nucleotide ribosomal RNA is filed under the name uncultured bacterium. RNAcentral's name for it is "partial 16S ribosomal RNA". It matches the Rfam family "Bacterial small subunit ribosomal RNA", at positions 28 to 507 of the family's 1533-position model. The record is from RNAcentral.